CGUGACCUACAAACAGCAAAAGCAAACGCCAUUUCGUUGUAUUUCUCAAUAAAUGUCUCGUCCAAGCAAGGUGAUAGUUGCUAAAUUAGAGAGAGGAUUGUCCAUCGCCAUCGAUUUUUCAACAUUUUAUCAAUACUCGCUUAAUAUUGUAUUUCAACAUCGACAUUCAAUUGUGACUAACAUCCGUGGGGAUACUUUCAAACGUGACUUGAAGCUCUCAACCUGUAUGAUAUGGUUGAAUAACUUAAAUUGUACAUUGCAAAAUUUCAACAUACUUGAACACAGUUUUGCAACCAGCUUGCUUGCGAUUGUAUUAAGGAUUACCGUAUCUUGUGAAGCAGUUCUGAAUCGGGUGUAAAAGGACAUUAAUAAAACCACUGCAGCACAGUAACCAGUUAUGCAGCAACCGGGACCACCGCCACAAUACCAACCCCCGGGCCAGGGGUAUGCCCCACCCCCAGGACAGCCGGGUUAUCCCCCACAACAGGGUUAUGGGCAGCCCCAGCCGAUGAUGACCGGGCAGACACACAACGUGGUAGUCGUCUCACAGCCGGGAACGAGGGUCGUGGGAUCCUGCGGUAGAUGUGGGGUCGGUGUCGCCAGAGAAAACUACAGUGUCAUCGGUAUCAUCAUCGCGAUCCUGUUUUUCCCUCUUGGUGUUAUCUGCUGCUUAAUGAUGACAGAACGACGCUGUUCACACUGCGGGGCACCUAUGUAGUCACGCGCCAAUCCAGACGUUAUAGUGCAGUGACGUCACACGUUGUUAGUUGUGACGUCAUACUUCUCGUCGAUCGUGUAUGUCUUGUUUGUCGUCUACAACUCUGUUUGAUGUAUUUUGUUUCAUUACAUAUUGAUUAAAACAAUUUAAGGAUUCAGACCCCCACACAUAAGCUAUAUCACUGGUAGCUCUAUUAACCAUUCUGUUAAAUGUUGAUAAUUGUGGCCCGAUGUAAUUAUGGUAUGGAAAAGGUAUUUCUUGCUGGUUACUUAUGUUUUACAUAAAUAACUUAAUACUAAUAUACUAUACAAUUUGUUAGUUGUUGUUUUUUGCUCUAUUUUCAUGUGAAAUAUGAUGUGAAAGACAUACUUGUAAUGUUUCAAUGCCAUAAACGUUUGUUUACUUUA
This is a long non-coding RNA of Mya arenaria, 1125 nucleotides long. RefSeq lists it as uncharacterized. NCBI's taxonomy places the organism in Eukaryota, Metazoa, Mollusca, Bivalvia, Myida, Myidae. The transcript has 4 exons. The record is from RefSeq and is a predicted model, not a curated record.